GAUGAACGCUGGCGGCGUGCUUAACACAUGCAAGUCGAACGAUGAAGCCCAGCUUGCUGGGUGGAUUAGUGGCGAACGGGUGAGUAACACGUGAGUAACCUGCCCUUAACUCUGGGAUAAGCCUGGGAAACUGGGUCUAAUGCCGGAUAGGAGCGCCUACCGCAUGGUGGGUGUUGGAAAGAUUUAUCGGUUUUGGAUGGACUCGCGGCCUAUCAGCUUGUUGGUGAGGUAAUGGCUCACCAAGGCGACGACGGGUAGCCGGCCUGAGAGGGUGACCGGCCACACUGGGACUGAGACACGGCCCAGACUCCUACGGGAGGCAGCAGUGGGGAAUAUUGCACAAUGGGCGAAAGCCUGAUGCAGCGACGCCGCGUGAGGGAUGACGGCCUUCGGGUUGUAAACCUCUUUCAGUAGGGAAGAAGCGAAAGUGACGGUACCUGCAGAAGAAGCACCGGCUAACUACGUG
This 466-nucleotide ribosomal RNA is filed under the name uncultured bacterium. RNAcentral describes it as "partial 16S ribosomal RNA". It matches the Rfam family "Bacterial small subunit ribosomal RNA", at positions 28 to 507 of the family's 1533-position model. The record is from RNAcentral.